Molecule: ribosomal RNA, 497 nt
Filed under: uncultured bacterium
Lineage: Bacteria
Description: partial 16S ribosomal RNA
Rfam family: Bacterial small subunit ribosomal RNA
Source: RNAcentral
GAUGAACGCUGGCGGCGUGCCUAAUACAUGCAAGUCGAGCGAACAGACGAGGAGCUUGCUCCUCUGACGUUAGCGGCGGACGGGUGAGUAACACGUGGAUAACCUACCUAUAAGACUGGGAUAACUUCGGGAAACCGGAGCUAAUACCGGAUAAUAUAUUGAACCGCAUGGUUCAAUAGUGAAAGACGGUUUUGCUGUCACUUAUAGAUGGAUCCGCGCCGCAUUAGCUAGUUGGUAAGGUAACGGCUUACCAAGGCAACGAUGCGUAGCCGACCUGAGAGGGGGAUCGGUCACACUGGAACUGAGACACGGUCCAGACUCCUACGGGAGGCAGCAGUAGGGACUCUUCCGCAAUGGGCGAAAGCCUGACGGAGCAACGCCGCGUGAGUGAUGAAGGUCUUCGGAUCGUAAAGCUCUGUUAUUAGGGAAGAACAAAUGUGUAAGUAACUAUGCACGUCUUGACGGUACCUAAUCAGAAAGCCACGGCUAACUCCGUG